AUGAGAAAUUAGCUCGGAGAGUGACUUUUCAUAAAAAUAAAAUAUUUUUCAGUGAAGUAGAAAAGGGUAGUAAGUCAGUAAAAACAGAACAAUUUGAUUUUACAGUAGGCUAUUUUUUUAAAUGUAGUUAAUAUAGAAUAUGUGUCCACUGUGUCCAUUUUGCAGCUAGUUCAAGUGCAUAUUAGUCAUUGGUUAAUUGACUAGAAAUGUGCAUCAAACAUGGUCCUGGAAGCUGCCCUGUAAACAUCAGCAUGGGUUAGUUUCUUUCUCAAAAGCUUGCGAUUAUGAGAAACAAAGCAGUUGCUGUUGUCUGCAUAAGCCAUUCAUAAUGCUCCGCAGAUUCUGCGGUUGUUUUAUUAGCUGUGUUUGUUGCCUUGUCAUAGUGCCUGCAGCCCCCUACUCUGGAUAAGUAUACCAUGCAUAUUGGUCACCAGUGGAAUUGUUCUAUUAUGAUGUUUAGUUUUUUCUUUUUUUCUGAAGUAUUCUGCAUCCCAGAAGUAAAUUCUGAUGGGUUUUAC
This 518-nucleotide long non-coding RNA is filed under the name Bos taurus (domestic cattle). RNAcentral describes it as "long non-coding RNA NONBTAT017225". The record is from RNAcentral. Lineage: Eukaryota; Metazoa; Chordata; Mammalia; Artiodactyla; Bovidae.